Scleropages formosus (Asian bonytongue) is the source of this 2048-nucleotide long non-coding RNA. The record is from Ensembl. NCBI's taxonomy places the organism in Eukaryota, Metazoa, Chordata, Actinopteri, Osteoglossiformes, Osteoglossidae.
CUGAUAUAAAAAGUGAAAAUCAGGUAAAGACACCUGUGAUCUGUGAUAUUAACCCAGUCCAAACCAUUGAGGACCUAGAUCUAUUACUACCAUUGUACAAAGUUGUAAAUGCAGUUAAAAGAAAAGAUUUAACCGUUCUUAAUUUGAUCUGCUCAGAACUUGUGGAGCUCUCUAACGUCUAUGCUCAAGCAGUGAAAAUGGCUGUGGUUGUUACUGAUGAUGUUGCAGAAAGUGAAGAACUUGAGAAUCUAAAAUCAGACAUUGUGGCACUGACACGUACAUUAGUUCAAACAGCUCAAGAAACAGCCAUGAGUUCUGUUACGAGUACAGACAGCAUCUAUAAGCAAGCUACAUUGUUUUCCGAUAGGAUCAAUCAAAUGCGCAAGAUUUUGCUUCCUAUUGCAGGAAUUUGGUAUCAUGCAAUCUGUGCCAUAUUCCAAAGUCAACCACAAACAGAUGCAACACAGGAAAUCCGUUAUGUCAUGGGUGCAUGUGCAGAUAUUGUAGAGCUUGUUAUAUUUUCAGAUAUUCAACAAGGUAAACAUCAGGAGAGGAUCACCACACAGAGCAAACUCCAGGCAGCUCAGGUUAAUGCUAAGCUUCUCACUGGAAUGGCCACUUCCGUACCUCCUGGAUCUGAUCAUUUAGAGGCCUCAUCUAUUCUUUGGGCUCUGUCCAUCCAGGUUCUGCUAAAUUCUAUUGAUAAACUCCUAGGGGUCUCAGUGGAGGGUGGAACAAGUCCCCUCAGAUGUCAUAGGUCAUCCCUGCAAAAACGCUUAUCGCUGAUGUCAGAAAACUCAGUGCGGAUCCAAGAAGCAUCGAGAUUGUCCUCCUUGAUUUGUAAAAACACCAGCACAGUUAGGAACAUGAGGGAUCUUCAACAGGAGGUGAGGAGUUUCACUGAAGCCUACCUUCAGGCUGCUGAGAAUCUGAACACUGCUCCCCUUGCUAACCUUCAGCAGCUCGCCACGACUGAAUUACUGAAGAGAACACUUCAAGUUAAGGUGAAGGUCUUGUCUGCUCAUCUCAGUAAAGUAAACAAAGAAUACAUGGAUGCCUUUCAACAUCUCGUUCACCUGGCAGUUUUGGCCACCGCUGGAAAUGGUUGCAUUGAAAACAGGGAAGCAGCACAGCUGGAAUUUGACAAAUGUGCUCAAUCACUGAUAGGUGACAUGAAAGCUGUAAGUCAGAAGGUCCAAGACUGCCUUAAUUACGUCAGAGACCCCAGGGUUCGUGCUGUUUUGAGGUUUACUAAUGAGCAUCUGUUGUGUCAAAUGUCAGGCAUUGUAAGUAGAGCCAGAAAAAUGGUAGACAGUCAGAACACUUGUGACCUACCAGAUCUGGAGAUUCACAUGCAGUGUUGGUCAGCCAACGCUCACUUCCUUGUGGUGGAGCUAAAUAAAGUGGAGGGCAUUCAUCCAGGAAUGAAACAGCAGGUCAGACUUGGCCUGCAGGGUAAACAGCCCUGGGACAUGCCUGCAGAAAUAUCCUCAGCCCCGGUUCAGGAAAGAUGUCCUUUGACAACUCUAGCGGCGCCCAGCUCAAUGGAUUCUGCAACGAACAUCUUGGAACAAAAGAUUCAAAACCCCCCGGAAGCAAAACAGCCGAAAAAAGAGGGGAAGGAGGCUUUUGUCAGCACAGCAAAGGACGUGAUCUCAAGCUGUCAACGGGUCACUCAGUUUAUUGGAUUUGUUACUGAACACUGCCUGGACCAGCAGUGCACGGAUGAGCUCCUCCGUAUCACGGAAUGCAUUUACACCACCACCAAGCAGCUCACCAUCAUCUCCAGCGUUAAUGCAGUGACUCCUGGGUGCAGGUCAUCCGAUGAGAUCCUAGUAAAGAAUGCACAGAACCUGCUCCACAUAAUACUCCAGGGGAUCCGAGCAGCAGAGGCAGCCUGCAUCAAGGUACCCAGGACACCUCCGUUACUCAAGGAAAUCAUUGAUCUUACACCUACUCUAACUACACACACCUUCAUUGUCAUAUAUAGACUGAAACACAUCAUUCCAGCAUAUAAGCACACAUGUACAGCUAUAUGUAUUUUUUAA